AAUGGCUGUCCUGCGUGUGCAAUUACCAGGCUAGAGGGUACAAAUAGGUUUAAGGUCACAGAGGAAAAUUUCACAUCACAGGGUGUCUGCUUCCAAACAUGGGAACCGGUAGCUUUCCCUUUUUCAUCAAGAUACAAACCAGAAGCCUCUAGAACGCCAAGCCUACCCACCCCCACGCCCCCGCCCCAUCCUGCCCCGGUCAGGGCUAACCCGUCCCCAGGCGCGGGCCCGCCUGCGGGACCGGGGCUCGUCCCCGUGGGCCAGAGGCCCGGUGUGCCCGCAGGCUGCCGGCGGCGGCCGGCCCGGGGUGCUAGCCUAGACUUCCCCGAGGCCCUGCUGGGUGUGUGCGACGCCCUGGCGCCCAGCCCCGAGCUCGGGGAGUCACCUCGCGGAUACCCCGGGGGGCUGAGAGCAAGAGAAGCCACAGCAGAGAGCUCCAGGGAGGGCUCAGGACUGCGAGCACUUCCCCCUGGCGGACGCCGGCCCUCAUCCUCCUCCGCCCCGACCUCUUCCUCGGGUCCCCGGCGGUCCCUCGAGUCCCCGCAGCCCUCCCCCCGCCUCCGACUCUUCCCGGCCGAGGGGGUCACCCAAGCGCCCCGGGGGCCCCUCCUCCCUCCCGCUCCCCGCGCCGGCCCGGCCAGUCCCGGUCGCCGCCGGCCCGGGUCUCCGCCCCCCUCAGCAUCCGACUGCCUCGCAGCACCCGCCAUCAGACCCCGUCGUCUCCUCCAAGCCUCCCCGCGUCUGCGCCCGGCUGCCCGUCGCUCAGCCCUGCCGCCGCGUCCCCCCACCUGCCGCGGGCCUCCGCGUCCACCCGCCCGCCCUUCCCGGGGCAGAGCCUCCACGGCGCCGGGUGCCCCGCAGAUGCCCGUCCGCACCCGCCCGCGUCGGUACGGUACGCCGCCGAGCGUGCCCCUCUGUUCUGGAGCCCGGCCCUCCGUCCGGUCAGGCCCCUGCUCACCAUCCCUCCCCCGGCCUGAGAGUCGGCGGCCCGGCUCCCCGCCCGCACCCGGGCAACUCUUCCCUCUCGCACUUUCUCUACUUUGA
RNAcentral lists this long non-coding RNA (1044 nucleotides) under Vulpes vulpes (red fox). RNAcentral's name for it is "lncRNA (ENSVVUG00000004689.1)". Lineage: Eukaryota; Metazoa; Chordata; Mammalia; Carnivora; Canidae. The record is from RNAcentral.